Molecule: ribosomal RNA, 3006 nt
Filed under: Salmonella enterica subsp. enterica serovar Thompson
Lineage: Bacteria; Pseudomonadati; Pseudomonadota; Gammaproteobacteria; Enterobacterales; Enterobacteriaceae
Description: bacterial LSU rRNA
Rfam family: Bacterial large subunit ribosomal RNA
Source: RNAcentral
UUAAGCGACUAAGCGUACACGGUGGAUGCCCUGGCAGUCAGAGGCGAUGAAGGGCGUGCUAAUCUGCGAUAAGCGCCGGUAAGGUGAUAUGAACCGUUAUAACCGGCGAUACCCGAAUGGGGAAACCCAGUGUGACUCGUCACACUAUCAUUAACUGAAUCCAUAGGUUAAUGAGGCGAACCGGGGGAACUGAAACAUCUAAGUACCCCGAGGAAAAGAAAUCAACCGAGAUUCCCCCAGUAGCGGCGAGCGAACGGGGAGGAGCCCAGAGCCUGAAUCAGCAUGUGUGUUAGUGGAAGCGUCUGGAAAGGCGCGCGAUACAGGGUGACAGCCCCGUACACAAAAGCGCAUGUGCUGUGAGCUCGAUGAGUAGGGCGGGACACGUGGUAUCCUGUCUGAAUAUGGGGGGACCAUCCUCCAAGGCUAAAUACUCCUGACUGACCGAUAGUGAACCAGUACCGUGAGGGAAAGGCGAAAAGAACCCCGGCGAGGGGAGUGAAAAAGAACCUGAAACCGUGUACGUACAAGCAGUGGGAGCCCCACCACUAAGCCAGUGGUGAACUCCACAUACGCAUCCUUUGCUGAAGGCAAUGGUUAACGGAGCGAAAGCGACGUUCAACCGCAAAACAAGCAGAGGGGGCUUAGUGGUGGGGUGACUGCGUACCUUUUGUAUAAUGGGUCAGCGACUUAUAUUCUGUAGCAAGGUUAACCGUAUAGGGGAGCCGGAGGGAAACCGAGUCUUAAUUGGGCGUUAAGUUGCAGGGUAUAGACCCGAAACCCGGUGAUCUAGCCAUGGGCAGGUUGAAGGUUGGGUAACACUAACUGGAGGACCGAACCGACUAAUGUUGAAAAAUUAGCGGAUGACCUGUGGCUGGGGGUGAAAGGCCAAUCAAACCGGGAGAUAGCUGGUUCUCCCCGAAAGCUAUUUAGGUAGCGCCUCGUGAAUUCAUCUCCGGGGGUAGAGCACUGUUUCGGCUAGGGGGCCAUCCCGGCUUACCAACCCGAUGCAAACUGCGAAUACCGGAGAAUGUUAUCACGGGAGACACACGGCGGGUGCUAACGUCCGUCGUGAAGAGGGAAACAACCCAGACCGCCAGCUAAGGUCCCAAAGUCAUGGUUAAGUGGGAAACGAUGUGGGAAGGCCCAGACAGCCAGGAUGUUGGCUUAGAAGCAGCCAUCAUUUAAAGAAAGCGUAAUAGCUCACUGGUCGAGUCGGCCUGCGCGGAAGAUGUAACGGGGCUAAACCAUGCACCGAAGCUGCGGCAGCGACGCUUAUGCGUUGUUGGGUAGGGGAGCGUUCUGUAAGCCUGUGAAGGUGGCCUGUGAGGGUUGCUGGAGGUAUCAGAAGUGCGAAUGCUGACAUAAGUAACGAUAAAGCGGGUGAAAAGCCCGCUCGCCGGAAGACCAAGGGUUCCUGUCCAACGUUAAUCGGGGCAGGGUGAGUCGACCCCUAAGGCGAGGCCGAAAGGCGUAGUCGAUGGGAAACGGGUUAAUAUUCCCGUACUUGGUGUUACUGCGAAGGGGGGACGGAGAAGGCUAUGUUGGCCGGGCGACGGUUGUCCCGGUUUAAGCGUGUAGGUGUGUGUUCCAGGUAAAUCCGGUUCACUUUAACACUGAGGCGUGAUGACGAGGCACUACGGUGCUGAAGCAACAAAUGCCCUGCUUCCAGGAAAAGCCUCUAAGCAUCAGGUAACAUCAAAUCGUACCCCAAACCGACACAGGUGGUCAGGUAGAGAAUACCAAGGCGCUUGAGAGAACUCGGGUGAAGGAACUAGGCAAAAUGGUGCCGUAACUUCGGGAGAAGGCACGCUGACACGUAGGUGAAGUGAUUUACUCAUGGAGCUGAAGUCAGUCGAAGAUACCAGCUGGCUGCAACUGUUUAUUAAAAACACAGCACUGUGCAAACACGAAAGUGGACGUAUACGGUGUGACGCCUGCCCGGUGCCGGAAGGUUAAUUGAUGGGGUCAGCGCAAGCGAAGCUCCUGAUCGAAGCCCCGGUAAACGGCGGCCGUAACUAUAACGGUCCUAAGGUAGCGAAAUUCCUUGUCGGGUAAGUUCCGACCUGCACGAAUGGCGUAAUGAUGGCCAGGCUGUCUCCACCCGAGACUCAGUGAAAUUGAACUCGCUGUGAAGAUGCAGUGUACCCGCGGCAAGACGGAAAGACCCCGUGAACCUUUACUAUAGCUUGACACUGAACAUUGAGCCUUGAUGUGUAGGAUAGGUGGGAGGCUUUGAAGCGUGGACGCCAGUCUGCGUGGAGCCGACCUUGAAAUACCACCCUUUAAUGUUUGAUGUUCUAACGUGGACCCGUAAUCCGGGUUGCGGACAGUGUCUGGUGGGUAGUUUGACUGGGGCGGUCUCCUCCUAAAGAGUAACGGAGGAGCACGAAGGUUGGCUAAUCCUGGUCGGACAUCAGGAGGUUAGUGCAAUGGCAUAAGCCAGCUUGACUGCGAGCGUGACGGCGCGAGCAGGUGCGAAAGCAGGUCAUAGUGAUCCGGUGGUUCUGAAUGGAAGGGCCAUCGCUCAACGGAUAAAAGGUACUCCGGGGAUAACAGGCUGAUACCGCCCAAGAGUUCAUAUCGACGGCGGUGUUUGGCACCUCGAUGUCGGCUCAUCACAUCCUGGGGCUGAAGUAGGUCCCAAGGGUAUGGCUGUUCGCCAUUUAAAGUGGUACGCGAGCUGGGUUUAGAACGUCGUGAGACAGUUCGGUCCCUAUCUGCCGUGGGCGCUGGAGAACUGAGGGGGGCUGCUCCUAGUACGAGAGGACCGGAGUGGACGCAUCACUGGUGUUCGGGUUGUCAUGCCAAUGGCACUGCCCGGUAGCUAAAUGCGGAAGAGAUAAGUGCUGAAAGCAUCUAAGCACGAAACUUGCCCCGAGAUGAGUUCUCCCUGAGACUUAGAGUCUCCUGAAGGAACGUUGAAGACGACGACGUUGAUAGGCCGGGUGUGUAAGCGCAGCGAUGCGUUGAGCUAACCGGUACUAAUGAACCGUGAGGCUUAACCUU